AAGAAAAUAUAUUGUAGCUUUUACGAGAUAACCGCAAUUCUGGUAAAAUUUGGUCGCCAAAUAACAGCGGGAAUCGAUUUCAUAAUAUCAUGUGGGAAUUUUAGCGA
Long non-coding RNA from Mycetomoellerius zeteki, 107 nucleotides. RefSeq lists it as uncharacterized. The transcript has 3 exons. The record is from RefSeq and is a predicted model, not a curated record. Lineage: Eukaryota; Metazoa; Arthropoda; Insecta; Hymenoptera; Formicidae.